This 279-nucleotide ribosomal RNA is filed under the name uncultured bacterium. RNAcentral describes it as "partial 16S ribosomal RNA". It matches the Rfam family "Bacterial small subunit ribosomal RNA", at positions 506 to 784 of the family's 1533-position model. The record is from RNAcentral.
UGCCAGCAGCCGCGGUAAGACGGAGGGUCCUAGCGUUGUUCGGAAUCACUGGGCUUAAAGGGCGUGUAGGCGGCGAUUUAAGUCGGAUGUGAAAUCUCUCGGCCUAACCGGGAAACUGCAUCCGAAACUGGAUUGCUAGAGUGCGGGAGGGGCAAGUGGAACUCCAGGUGUAGCGGUGAAAUGCGUAGAUAUCUGGAGGAACGCCGGUGGCGAAAGCGACUCACUGGCUCGCAACUGACGCUGAGGCGCGAAAGCUAGGGGAGCGAACAGGAUUAGAUA